Molecule: unclassified non-coding RNA, 1137 nt
Filed under: Hevea brasiliensis (rubber tree)
Lineage: Eukaryota; Viridiplantae; Streptophyta; Magnoliopsida; Malpighiales; Euphorbiaceae
Source: RNAcentral
UCUUACUUGGCAUCACUUUAACCAUCUCCUCGAGAUCCUCGCCCACUUCCGUCGCCGGGAAACCGCUGCUGCUCCGCCCGAAACCGUCAUAGAAGUAUAAUUCCCGGCUGAUUUAUAAAGUUAUAGAAAAGAUCCCUGUCGAAAUGAGUAACGGGGAGCUACUUCAAAUCGAACCAGUAGAAAUUACAUUUACAUUCGAAUUGAAGAAGCAGAUCUCAUGCUCCUUGCAAUUGAGCAACAAAUCAGAUGACUAUGUAGCCUUCAAGGUGAAGACGACGAAUCCAAAGAAGUACUGUGUAAGGCCCAAUACUGGAAUUGUGAUGCCUCGCUCUACCUGUGAAGUCACAGUUACAAUGCAAGCACAAAAAGAGGCACCACCGGACAUGCAAUGCAAGGAUAAGUUCCUGCUUCAAAGUGUCAUAGUAAGCCCCAGAACUACGGCUAAGGAUAUAACUCCAGAAAUGUUCAACAAAGAGUCUGGGAAUCAUGUUGAAGAGGUCAAGUUGAGAGUGGCUUAUGUUCUACCUAAACCACCAUCACCUGUGCGGGAGGGGUCCGAGGAAGGUUCCUCACCUAGGGCUUCAAUAUCUGAAAAUGGUGCUGAGUUUCACAAUGCUUCAAGGACAUAUGCUGAGCCACAAGACAAUUCAUCAGAGACAAAAGCACUAAUUUUGAAGCUGUCAGAGGAGAAAAAAUCUGCGAUACAGCAAAAUAACAAGCUUCAGCAAGAAUUGGAAUUAUUGAGGCGAGAAAGCAGCAAACGUCGUGGCGGAAUCCCAUUUAUGUAUGUUAUUAUUGUUGGACUGGUAGGCCUCCUUCUUGGUUAUCUACUCAAGAAGACAUGAUGGCUAAGAGGUUACUGCUACAUUGUCAGUGCAGCCAAACUGUUUAAAAAAUUCUAGAACCUUGAAGAAAAAGGUGACUAAUCCAGUAAAGCUUUGUAUCAUUAGUUGUUUGAUUGACUUAAAAAUGUACAAGACAGGUUUUGAUCUGCUUUUGUAAUGCCUGAGCUCGAGAGUGUCAUCGUGUGACUAACUGCAUUUAACAUCCUUUGCCAACAUGUGAAGGAGACAUUUUAGUUUGCAAAUUAAGUAUACUUCCCGUUUAUGGACUUUUGUAACUGCGGCUAGUGUUUGU